This 253-nucleotide ribosomal RNA is filed under the name uncultured bacterium. Its description in RNAcentral is "partial 16S ribosomal RNA". It matches the Rfam family "Bacterial small subunit ribosomal RNA", at positions 524 to 776 of the family's 1533-position model. The record is from RNAcentral.
UACGUAGGGGACUAGCGUUGUCCGGAUUUAUUGGGCGUAAAGAGCGUGUAGGCGGCCAGAUAGGUCGGUUGUGAAAACUGGAGGCUUAACCUCCAGCCGUCGACCGAAACCAUCUGGCUAGAGUCCGGAAGAGGAGAGUGGAAUUCCUGGUGUAGCGGUGAAAUGCGCAGAUAUCAGGAAGAACACCCGUGGCGAAGGCGGCUCUCUGGGACGGUACUGACGCUGAGACGCGAAAGCGUGGGGAGCGAACAGG